Molecule: ribosomal RNA, 253 nt
Filed under: uncultured prokaryote
Description: partial 16S ribosomal RNA
Rfam family: Bacterial small subunit ribosomal RNA
Source: RNAcentral
ACGGAGGGUGCAAGCGUUAUCCGGAUUCACUGGGUUUAAAGGGUGCGUAGGUGGGAAUGUAAGUCAGUGGUGAAAUCUCCGGGCUUAACCUGGAAACUGCCAUUGAUACUAUGUUUCUUGAAUUUUCUGGAGGAUAGCGGAAUAUGUCAUGUAGCGGUGAAAUGCUUAGAUAUGACAUAGAACACCGAUUGCGAAGGCAGCUAUCUACAGGGAUAUUGACACUGAGGCACGAAAGCGUGGGGAUCAAACAGGA